CUCCCAGCAAGCAAUAGCCGUCAUUUCAACGUCUGGGUUAAAUAUAGACCAGAUAUAGUCCGGCUAUGUGUAACCCACUUUUAGCCCAAAUAACAUUUAAUCUGGAUAAAUGUAUUUUUUUUGCAAAAUAACUUGUGAGAUGUAUGAUAUUCCAUCAUGUACGCAGAGUCUAACGUGAUUACAAGUUGUUUGGUUUACUUUAUUUUACAUGUUAUAUGUGUAGGCUGUGCGUAGCCACGAUUUAGCUCGUAUUCAGACCCGGCUAUUGUAGCCCACUUUUUGUCAAAACUGAUUAAUUGUAUUUUUUUGCCAGGCAGUGCAUGAAAUGGUUAAUAUUCAAUCAUGUUCGCAUUGGUAUGAUAUCAAGGUUCAAUACGUCAUUUCACGGCAUGGUAGAUCACGAUUUAGCUCCGAAUUGGACGGGCUAUAUGCGGUCUGCUUUAGCCCACCUGGCGAAAUUAUUGCAAUCUGGGCUCAGAUAUAGACCAGCGACCUAGAAUAUUAGUCUUUGAAAUGUUUUCGCUUACACAGCUUAAUAUAUAUUUUCUGUCAAACAUUCAUACACAAUCUACGAUAAAAAUAUCUAAUCAAAUGCAAUUGCAUUUCCCAACCGCUAGAUGGCACAAUUGAAACACUACUGAGACAUGUCUACUGGAACUAAUGCCAUUGCGUGACUAGAUCACUUAAGCCAAAUCUCGCGAUAAACAUUUCCGCCAUUUUAUUUUACACGAGGCAGCUGUCGGAGUGCAACGGGUGAGCAACAGUCUGAGUGAAAACCUUCACAUUUCUACUUCGAUCUUAAGAAAGCCAUACAGGUUUGGAACCAAGUGAAAACGCAGUGAUGACCAGCUUUCCAUCAGCUAUGGAAUGUGAAAUAAAAAAUGCUAUUUCUAAUCAUUU
Carassius auratus (goldfish) is the source of this 900-nucleotide long non-coding RNA. RefSeq lists it as uncharacterized. The record is from RefSeq and is a predicted model, not a curated record. The transcript is spliced from 3 exons. Lineage: Eukaryota; Metazoa; Chordata; Actinopteri; Cypriniformes; Cyprinidae.